AUUGAACGCUGGCGGCAUGCCUUACACAUGCAAGUCGAACGGCAGCACGGGAGCAAUCCUGGUGGCGAGUGGCGAACGGGUGAGUAAAGUAUCGGAACGUGCCCAGUCGUGGGGGAUAACGUAGCGAAAGUUACGCUAAUACCGCAUACGAUCUAUGGUUGAAAGCGGGGGAUCGCAAGACCUCGCGCGAUUGGAGCGGCCGAUAUCAGGUUAGGUAGUUGGUGGGGUAAAGGCUCACCAAGCCGUCGAUCUGUAGCUGGUCAGAGAUGACGACCAGCCACACUGGGGCUGGGAAACGGCCCAGACUCCUACGGGAGGAGGCAGUGGGGAAUUUUGGACAAUGGGCGAAGGCCUGAUCCAGCCAUGCCGCGUGCAGGAUGAAGGCCUUCGGGUUGUAAACUGCUUUUGUACGGAACGAAAAGGUUUGGCCUAAUAAGCUGAGCUCAUGACGGUACCGUAAGAAUAAGCACCGGCUAACUACGUGCCAGCCGCCGCGGUAA
This 500-nucleotide ribosomal RNA is filed under the name uncultured bacterium. Its description in RNAcentral is "partial 16S ribosomal RNA". It matches the Rfam family "Bacterial small subunit ribosomal RNA", at positions 30 to 523 of the family's 1533-position model. The record is from RNAcentral.